Dromaius novaehollandiae (emu) is the source of this 643-nucleotide long non-coding RNA. RefSeq lists it as uncharacterized. Lineage: Eukaryota; Metazoa; Chordata; Aves; Casuariiformes; Dromaiidae. The transcript has 6 exons. The record is from RefSeq and is a predicted model, not a curated record.
UUCCAUGGUGCAUGAUGAUGCCUGUUCUUGGAAGAGGAUCAUUAGCUCUAAAGAACUUGGAAGGUACAACUGGCUGCAUAGAGAAGAAUAGGGACAGGAGGUGCUCAACAUCCUGCGUAAUGAAUGAUGUCUUCAGAGUUCAGGCAGAGUCCAGCGCCUCCAGCUAGGUAAUGCGAGAGCCGAGACACUUUCUGCUAUGGCACACUGCUCUUGUCUUCUCAAGGCUCGAGUCCUUCAUUGCUGGAAUGGAUUGGGAGGCUUACAACAAAGAAAAAAGUCACAUCGUCCUGGCAAGGAGAAGAAAGGUGAAAAUACAGAAUUUGCUGCAUGAUGAACCAUGUUCAGUUUGCCUUGAAACUUAGAUUCUAGCUACCUGCCUCAAUAUCUGCUGAGACUGACAGCAGUGAUAGUGCUUCUAGGUGGCUUUCUGGGGAACCGGCUGUAGCAUAACCUGGCUUGACCACUGUACCGUGACUCAGCCUGGCAGAAAAGUGAUUUGCUCACCAUCACGUUGGAAACAUAUGCUGAAAGCUGAUCAGAAACGUAGAAAUCCUUGUUUCCAUUCCUGCUUUAUGGCUUCUGUAGACUUGGCUGUAAAACCUAAAUUUCCACAUGGACCUGUGCAAAAGUUGAUGUUCCGUCU